RNAcentral lists this ribosomal RNA (505 nucleotides) under uncultured bacterium. Its description in RNAcentral is "partial 16S ribosomal RNA". It matches the Rfam family "Bacterial small subunit ribosomal RNA", at positions 28 to 507 of the family's 1533-position model. The record is from RNAcentral.
GACGAACGCUGGCGGCGUGCCUAAUACAUGCAAGUAGAACGCACAGUUUAUACCGUAGCUUGCUACACCAUAGACUGUGAGUUGCGAACGGGUGAGUAACGCGUAGGUAACCUGCCUGGUAGCGGGGGAUAACUAUUGGAAACGAUAGCUAAUACCGCAUAAUAUUAAUUAUUGCAUGAUAAUUAAUUGAAAGGUGCAAUUGCACCACUACCAGAUGGACCUGCGUUGUAUUAGCUAGUAGGUGAGGUAACGGCUCACCUAGGCGACGAUACAUAGCCGACCUGAGAGGGUAGUAGGCCACACUGGGACUGAGACACGGCCCAUACUCCUACGGGAGGCAGCAGUAGGGAAUCUUCGGCAAUGGACGAAAGUCUGACCGAGCAACGCCGCGUGAGUGAAGAAGGUUUUCGGAUCGUAAAGCUCUGUUGUAAGAGAAGAACGGGUGUGAGAGUGGAAAGUUCACACUGUGACGGUAUCUUACCAGAAAGGGACGGCUAACUACGUG